RNAcentral lists this ribosomal RNA (481 nucleotides) under uncultured bacterium. Its description in RNAcentral is "bacterial SSU rRNA". It matches the Rfam family "Bacterial small subunit ribosomal RNA", at positions 501 to 985 of the family's 1533-position model. The record is from RNAcentral.
CUACGUGCCAGCAGCCGCGGUAAUACGGAAGGUCCAGGCGUUAUCCGGAUUUAUUGGGUUUAAAGGGAGCGUAGGCUGGAGAUUAAGUGUGUUGUGAAAUGUAGACGCUCAACGUCUGAAUCGCAGCGCAUACUGGUUUCCUUGAGUACGCACAACGUUGGCGGAAUUCGUCGUGUAGCGGUGAAAUGCUUAGAUAUGACGAAGAACUCCGAUUGCGAAGGCAGCUGACGGGAGCGCAACUGACGCUUAAGCUYGAAGGUGCGGGUAUCGAACAGGAUUAGAUACCCUGGUAGUCCGCACAGUAAACGAUGGAUGCCCGCUGUUGGUACCUGGUAUCAGCGGCUAAGCGAAAGCAUUAAGCAUCCCACCUGGGGAGUACGCCGGCAACGGUGAAACUCAAAGGAAUUGACGGGGGCCCGCACAAGCGGAGGAACAUGUGGUUUAAUUCGAUGAUACGCGAGGAACCUUACCCGGGCUUGAA